AAGAUUAUAUUCUCUUCUUUAUUAUAUUGGUUUGUGAAUUAACUAACAUGCAACAAAAAAGAAGUAUAUGAAGGUAAGAAGUAUUUCAUUCUCAAGUUUCUUUUCAUUUUUGUGUAUUUUGGACGUGUUUUUUUUAAAUUUUAUUUAUGUAUGUAUUACCAUUCUUCAAGCAAAUAUGAUAAAUAAUAUUUUUAUAAUAAUGAUUAAUCUGUCGCCAGUAUGUGAUUGUGCUCUCAAACAGUCACUUUGUGAUUGACACUAACUUUAUAAUUAUAUAAUAUAGUUUGAUUACAAUAUUUGAAUAGAUUUAAAGAGAUGAUUAUUUAUUUGUAUAAUUGAAGAAUGAUUUGCACACACACACACAUAUAUAUUAUAGUUUUAGAUUUCUUUUUUUUUUAAAUCACAAUUUUUUAAUUGGUAGGAUAUUUAGUUUAUUCAUUAUUAUUCAAUUGGUAGCGCAUAUGAUGAAGAGUUUGACAUAUGGAGCAAAAUAUGGUGGUGGAUCUACUUGUAAAGAAAGAUAGUAGAAGAAAAUCUUUUGAAGCAUAAUUAUUAAUUAGGAAUUACUUUUGCUAGAUUUUUUUAGUUACAAGGAAGCAAAUAUAGAAUGAAAAUAGGUUGAGAGUAAAUGAAUAGAAGAGAGAAAGUUGAAAGUUGAUAAUUGCACGGCUUUGAGUUAGGUACUACUAUUAAUUCUACCUCACAUGGACUAAACAAUUUUACACAUAAUAGUACUAUUCCAUAAUAACUCUCACCCACCCCAAAUAUUUUUUUUCGAUGAAAAAAUAAAGGUAUAAUAUAUAAAUAUAUUAUUUUAUUUGAUUUCAGUAGACAUUUAUAUCAUUUAAUUUUGGAUGUGCAUAAGUAGAUAUUUAAAUUUGUAUAAAAUUGAACAAGUAGACGUACACGUUCUACUUGGCAUAAAAUUUAUUUGUUCAGUUUUAUAUAAAUUUAAAUAUCUACCUGUACACACUAAAAAUUGAACAAUAUAUAUGUUAGUUGAAACCAAGUUGAAAGACAUGUUUAGGUAUUAAAAGGUACUAGUAAACAGGGAGGCACUAAAAGUUGUGGUAGAAUAGUAAUUAGCCCUUCUUCUUUAACCAAAUAUUUCGAGUUCAAGUAGCAUGCCUUUUAUAGGAUAUAUUUUACCCGUGUGAAUUCAGAUACCGAAUAUCAGGUGUGAAACCCAAAAGAUAUUUCCACAGCUUUGAGGUACUACUAUUAACUCUCCCUCACAUGGACCUGUAUUAUUUUGAAAACGACUAAACACCAAACCCAUGUUUGCCUUUUAACACCAACGGCUAAUUUAAUUACAUGUUAAAAAUUGAGGCACUUGAAUUUGUAGUUUCUACAUAAAAUUAGUUAUUUUUUUAUUCAUUUUUUAAAAAAAUUGAUAUAAUAUUAUAUACUAACGAUAUUGUUAUAAGAAUACUAAAUACUAUAUUUGGUUGGAUGUUGAAUUAUUUAACCAAAAGAUUAGGGAUUAAUUUCCACUUACUAUACUUUCUUUCUUAUUUUUUAUUUUAGUGGUGUACUCGUGUUUUAAAAUGAAAUAUCUAGGAACAGGUCUGCCAUCAAUUGUUGACUUGAUUCCAUCCCCCUAAUACUACUCCAUUACUCUCAUCCACCUCCACAUUUUUUAUUUUUUUUAGAAUAGAUGAUAAAAACAAAAAAAGUACUAGUACAAGAGGCGGCCUUAUCAAUAAAAGUUGUAGUAAAAUGAUAUUACUACUUCUUUUUUCUUUAAUAAAAUGUCUCGAGUUCAAGUAAAUUACCUUUGAUAGGAAGUGUUUUAUCUCUGAAGUGGGAC
RNAcentral lists this long non-coding RNA (1810 nucleotides) under Solanum tuberosum (potato). RNAcentral's name for it is "long non-coding RNA (STUB_LNC000602)". The record is from RNAcentral. Lineage: Eukaryota; Viridiplantae; Streptophyta; Magnoliopsida; Solanales; Solanaceae.